RNAcentral lists this ribosomal RNA (253 nucleotides) under uncultured Bellilinea sp. Its description in RNAcentral is "partial 16S ribosomal RNA". It matches the Rfam family "Bacterial small subunit ribosomal RNA", at positions 524 to 776 of the family's 1533-position model. The record is from RNAcentral. Lineage: Bacteria; Bacillati; Chloroflexota; Anaerolineae; Anaerolineales; Anaerolineaceae.
CACGUAGGACGCGAGCGUUAUCCGGAUUUACUGGGCGUAAAGAGCGCGUAGGCGGUCUCGCAAGUUGGGCGUGAAAGCCCCCGGCUUAACUGGGGAGGGUCGUUCAAUACUGCGGGACUGGAGGGUGGAAGAGGAGACUGGAAUUCCCGGUGUAGUGGUGAAAUGCGUAGAUAUCGGGAGGAACACCUGUGGCGAAGGCGAGUCUCUAGGCCACUUCUGACGCUGAGGCGCGAAAGCGUGGGGAGCGAACGGA